Mus musculus (house mouse) is the source of this 850-nucleotide long non-coding RNA. RefSeq annotates it as predicted gene, 34148. Lineage: Eukaryota; Metazoa; Chordata; Mammalia; Rodentia; Muridae. The record is from RefSeq and is a predicted model, not a curated record. The transcript has 3 exons.
AGGUCAGAGGCAAGAAAGCAUGACCUGCAUUUAAGACUGUAUCUUCCAGUUACCCCUACUAUAAAGGAUAUCGCAAGGAGGGGUGCAGUGCCUCCGCCCCAGCUUUUGGCUUUCAGUGCUCUUUAACCUUUUCUCUCAAGGCUGAGUACCUUCACUCUAGAAGUUAGCAAACUGAGCACUGUGAACGAGCAUGUUGUAAGGGCUUCCAGAAGUCCAAAGCCCCACUCUGAAAACUGCCCACGAUUUCUCAGAACCCAGGUGCUUCAGGGGAAGUGAAGGAAAAAGGUGGGAUGCAUUGUUAGUGAAUAAAAAGAGCCAGGAGCCUCCAGCAGUUCGGGCCUGCCCAACAGCAUGAUAUCCAGCCAACCCAAUUCUACUUUGGAGCCUCCAUCUCUGUCUAAAAUGAAUGGUUUGGUCUUGACCGUCAUCAAGAUUACUGGCAAUUCCUUAAGUCUGUAGUAAGAUACAAUCAGAUGUGAGGCUCAGACACAUCCUUACCAAGGCUCCCAUAGGUGUGCAAAAGUCCUUAUCCUUGUCUUUGAGGAGUUUUCCACAGACAGAAGACUCAAAUGUUCCCACACAAAUGGCUUACAAAGGCACAAGCCAAACAAGACAGAAGACAAGAAGCUGUAGGAAUGAAUGGGCAGAUCUCUGGUCCAGACCAACAUAGCGUGGUGCAAAUAGUGACCUGGAGACUCUUACCCCACCACCUGCUGGAUCCUUUGGGCCAGGUCACCAUAACAUACCUCAAGGAUGGCCCCAACUCACAUAGAAAGGAUCUUGGAAGUCACCCCAUGGCCCACCUAAGUGUAAGUUUUAGCAUAACUCCUAAUAUAUUAUUUCUAAUAAA